Girardinichthys multiradiatus is the source of this 1481-nucleotide RNA transcript. It is a transcript of the gene named dynein light chain Tctex-type 2B, with no coding region annotated. NCBI's taxonomy places the organism in Eukaryota, Metazoa, Chordata, Actinopteri, Cyprinodontiformes, Goodeidae. The transcript has 6 exons. The record is from RefSeq and is a predicted model, not a curated record.
CCGGAAAUGCGCGUCAAUUGUCGCUAUAGUAACAGACACAAUCCUGUAGGUUAGCUUGUGAACAAGUUAACCAGUUUUUUUUAAAACGUGUGAGCCUAUUUUUCAGUCAAACAUGGUGGAGGGGUCCGAUGCGUAUCUUAUACGACCUAACCAUCAGCACAAGUUCAAACCAACUGUCGUAAAGGAUUGCAUCCGAGAAAUUGUGAGGGAGCGUCUGUCUGGAGUGCAGUACGACCCGGAGAAUGUCCCAGAGCUGACCCGUUCACUGGCAGAGAGCGUUAAGGACAAAGUGAAGAAUGCAGGAUUUGACAGAUACAAGCUUGUUGUGCAGGUGCUCAUUGGAGAACAACGAGGACAAGGAGUCAAGCUCUACUUUAUGGAGGCUGUAAUGUCACUCAGCGUGUAAAGGUUCAAGGGGCUUCUUUGUCAAAGCAAGGAUGUCUUCCAGGUGUUUGUGGGAUGCUGACACAGACAACUAUGCAGAAGAUGUUUUCAUGAAUGACAGCUUGUUCUGUGUGGUGGCAGUUUUCGGAAGCUAUUACUACUGAAGACCUGAAGCAUGGACGACAGCCGAUUCUUUUACAUGAAGAGAUAUUAGAUAAACACCGUCAGCAUUUCAGCUUCUGGAGGGUGGAAAUAUAGGACUUUUGCUGAUGUAGUGAUUAUAUAAUGAAUGAUGUCACUGUAACUUCCUGACUUGACAGGUUAGAUAUUAAUGUUUGUACAACUAAUUCUGUGUUGUACCUUAUAGCUAAAAAUGUUCCAGUCUGGCCUCUGAACCAGUCGACACUCACAGGUGUUGAAAGGUCGGUGUCAGGGUGAGACCUUUGUGUUUACUGGAUGAAGGAACCUUUUCAAAUUAACCUUAUUUAAAAAGAUAAUUCAAUAAGUGAAAUAUCUUUAGCAACACAUUAUUGUUUAUCCUCUGGAGCUGCUGUGUAACGGAGUGUGCUCUGCAGCCGUGUUUGUCUACAAAUUAUUUUCAGGUGUAGAAAAGCAGUUUAAAGUAACAUAAUGCAUUGAAUUACAGUGAGAAUAUGCGUUCAACUGAGUUGUUGAAUUGGAGCAGAAUUACAGCACAGGUCAGUAUGUUUUAGAUGCUGUUAGCAUCAUGACAGAAAUAGUUAACAUACAUCACCUUCUGUAAUUAUAGAACAGGUACACAAAACAUGUCUAGGUUUAUUACCAAAUACUUUAUUCCACAUACUACAAAGUAUAAUACUUCUUCUCAGGUAUACGCUAGUGUUUUGUAAAAAUGUAUUUGUGUUCGACAACGACUGCGUUGUCUCUUCUUGUAGACUGACUGUAGCUGUUAACAUGGUUGCAAAAUGGUUUUAGAAGCCCCUUUACUUGGAAAAUAAAUACUAUAAAUGUUGAAUUGCCAUAAUUAUAAGUGCCUUGUAAAUAGUGUUUUUGUGUUAAAAACCGAAUAAAAAAAUUGUACUUGUGUAAUAUUUAAUAAAGAAUUAAAACACCAUGAA